UUCGUAAAACGUCAGCCCUUGAUUAGCGUCUACCCAUGGUGGGGCAUCCUUGGCAUCUGACCAAAAGAAGUCUUGCAGAUGUACUCGACGUCCUGGCAGAUGCUCGAUCAGAAUAAUUUCAUCCUCUGAGCAAACUGAGGAUAGAUUACGGUGAUAUCAAGUCGAACAAGAAAUUGUAUAUCGUAUUUCACGAUACGUAGUAGUACGAAGAAUAAAUAUUUUCGAGUAUUCAGUUUGAUUGAGACGAGUAAUCGAUUCAAAUUUAUGCUUCAAUGCAACGAUAACCGUCUUUAUUGCAUCGUGUAAACGUGGUAAUGUAUAAACGAGGUUUGUCUUAUGAAAUUAACUGCGUUGAUUACAAAAGUAGAACAAAUACCCUUUUUCUUUUUAAUAUACAGGAUAUAGGUUAAUCGCUGCGUGAUAUUGUUUUAAAUAUCGUUGGAAUUGUAACUGUUAUUCGUUGACAAGUAUAUUCUCGUAAAACAUUUUGCUAAAGCAUCCAAAAUAAAAUCUAUCAAGAAUUAAACGUUAUAACAUAAUUUUAUAUAAAUAAUCGUCUUGCUUACGCUUACAGCUGUUAAUGUCAAUUUUAUUUAAAAAAAACAAGCGUAAAAUUAAUAUACGCGAAAUAAUACAAAAUAAUUAUUUGAAAAUUUCAAUGAAAUGUUACAGUUCAGGACAUCUCGCGAGUAAAAUAUUCUUUUGAGGUUAUGUAAUUUCAGAUUACAUGAUAUUUAUUUCCGCAUUGCUAUGAAAGAGGAACAGACAAACGUGAAGCGGUGGUGCGUGAAAGCUUCACUUUCAUAGGAACUUAUCGUCGACAAGGGCAAUGACCUUUAGUCAUGCGAAUCGUUUACGAGACAAUGUGACAUUAAAUAUAACGAAUAGACCAACUUGGUCCUAAACACCCGACAUUAAACAGACGUUUUUAUGAAACGACAAAAUUGGCUUGAUAUUAUCGAGACAACAAGCGAUCCCGAUUGUUCAAUUAAUAUUGAUCGUGAUGGAUUAAUUUCUCAUGUGCGAGACAGGCUAAAAAGUGUAGGGAACUAUUUUAACGACUUCAAAAACUAUGAAGUAACCAAUUAGAGUACAUACUAGUUGAAAACUUCCGGUAGAAGGAGAAAAUCUGUCAAAAAGUUUGUCGUGCUACUGCGUGACUAUAAAUUGCUCGUUAAUUUGCACGAGGUCAUUGAAUUCUCUUUUAUUGGAACUUUGUUCCAUGAAUAGGUAGGUAAGUACCUAUGUAUUCAAUUUCACUUGAAGUUGGCUAAUACUUACUUUAGCAUAUUUCACUCACGAAUUAUGCAUAUGACGAAUAAAACUUCAAAAUGAAUUAUAAGCAGACAAAGUAUCGCUACCCCCACGGUGCGUUAAAAUAAUUUCAAAUUGGAAAAUUAUAUAAUCGGUGAAAUCGUUUCAAGCGUAUGUAUUAAUUAAAAAACAGACAGAUACAUUACUGUUUCUAAGAAUAAAAAGUAAAAUAUAACAACAGGUUAGGAAGAACCUUUGACAAAAUUAUAAAACGCAAGAAAUAACAAACUGCUUGUUUAAA
This is a long non-coding RNA of Bombus impatiens (common eastern bumble bee), 1555 nucleotides long. RefSeq lists it as uncharacterized. The transcript has 3 exons. Lineage: Eukaryota; Metazoa; Arthropoda; Insecta; Hymenoptera; Apidae. The record is from RefSeq and is a predicted model, not a curated record.